Nematostella vectensis (starlet sea anemone) is the source of this 1458-nucleotide long non-coding RNA. RefSeq lists it as uncharacterized. Lineage: Eukaryota; Metazoa; Cnidaria; Anthozoa; Actiniaria; Edwardsiidae. The record is from RefSeq and is a predicted model, not a curated record. The transcript is spliced from 2 exons.
CCUGCAAUAAGUAGGCGCAUGCGCUUCGCAUUCCAAACGGUGACGAGAGCAUGUGGCGAGAGCUGAAAGUUCCUCCAAUUUCUCCUCAAUUUUCAAUGAUAUUUCCAGCCUCUAUUCGACUUUUUAAACUAGAAUAUGCCGACUUUGUAAACACGAGCUGUCGAGGAUCUCGUUAACUUAAUUCACCGCACGAAACGACAAUGUUACCGGCUAACUUAAGCUUUACAUUCAGGUAAGCAAAGCUGAGUACUUAACGGCUAUCUAUUUGGUGAUAUUUCAUAUAAUGCAUUGCAAACAAAGCUCGAAAGGAAACGGAGAAACAUUCGUAUCAUGAUGGUCACGGCGUGCAUGCGUGAGCCCGCAAUAACGCAGCGAUGUACCUGGUGCCUGCCCUGAAAUGUGUCUGUUUGAAAAAUGUACUGUCACCUCUGCUUUUAUCUGAUUUGCUUCUGCUGUAUGUCUAUGGAAAGCUUAUAAAAUGGGCUACACAUCGGUUAACUUUUUUUAUUUCUUCAUUGUUUACUAAUUAUUUUUAGUAUUUGUUGUUGAGCGAAACACAGAAAAAAUACUUUGUUUUCCGAGGAUCUUUCUUUAUUUUUAUACGAGGAUAACUCUUUCGAUGUUCACUUCUUGACGAUAACUUGUUAACUUUUCAAUUCUACUUCUGUGUUAUUUUUCGAUUUGACUGUUUAACUAUAUUCAACUGUCUUUUCGACUAUGUAUUUGACUUUUUAUUCGACUUAAUUCAACUGCCUACGAUACUAUUGCUUCUCUUUUUAUACUCUUCUGUUUACUAAAUAUAGCUAAUUAACCAAUUACUAAGAACUUUCCCGAAUUUAUGUGAUUUUGCUAUUGCUCACUCGAGCAAGUUCCAGUAACUACUAAAUGUCUUUUCAUUUGUAUUUGUCUCGCUACUUUCUAGAACACCCUAGAAAUAGUCAAAACAAUAUGGCGUGACUGCGUGCUUUCAAGAAAUAUCUACAAAAAUAUGCCUUAUUUACAAAGACUUCUACUACUAUGCUAGAACUAACAAUCUAGGUCCUACUUUUUACAAUACUAGAACUUACUAGAAUUUCCUAUUCACAAAAUUGCACUUAUAAAUCCUAUAUUCUAAGGUCCUUUUACUUUAAGUCCUUCGUAACAUUAAUAAUCUAAUUAUGAUGUUACCUUAUGUAAUAUUUAAAAUAUUAAAAAAAAAUUAAGCCCAAUACACAAGAAGUAAAAGUUACAGUACAAAGGUUUACCAUAUGUAAACUAUAUAAAUUUUUAGGGGAUUGUAAUUUAGGGGACUAUCUAUUUUGGGGACUGUAAUAAAAAUGUUUUUUUUUCUAAAACCAACAACAAUAUUUCAAAUAAGAAGAAUAUAUCAUGGUUUAAUAGUGUCUUGUACACACUAAUAGGCAGCUUUUUGUUAUUCUGCCUAGCAUCUCUUGCUUAUAAUUGCUAAUAUUCACUAAA